CCUACGGGGGGCUGCAGUAGGGAAUAUUGGACAAUGGGCGAAAGCCUGAUCCAGCCAUGCCGCGUGAUAGAUGAAGGCCCUCUGGGUUGUAAAUAUCUUUUAUCUGGGAAGAAACAAUCUUAUUCUUAAGAUCUUGACGGUACCAGAGGAAUAAGCACCGGCUAACUCCGUGCCAGCAGCCGCGGUAAUACGGAGGGUGCAAGCGUUAUCCGGUUUCACUGGUGUGAAGGGGUGCUUAUGAGUGAGGAUUGAAAGCUCCGAGCUUAACUUGGAAACUGCCAUUGAUACUGCCAGUCUGGAAUGUCGUAGAGGUAAGCGGAAUGUUGCAUGUAGCGGUGAAAUGCUUAGAUAUGUUACAGAACACCAAUUGCGAAGGCAGCUUACUAUGCGAUGAUUGACGCUGAGGCACGAAAGCGUGGGGAGCAAACAGGAUUAGAUACCCUAGUAGUC
Molecule: ribosomal RNA, 450 nt
Filed under: uncultured bacterium
Lineage: Bacteria
Description: partial 16S ribosomal RNA
Rfam family: Bacterial small subunit ribosomal RNA
Source: RNAcentral